Long non-coding RNA from Oncorhynchus tshawytscha (Chinook salmon), 855 nucleotides. Lineage: Eukaryota; Metazoa; Chordata; Actinopteri; Salmoniformes; Salmonidae. The record is from Ensembl.
CGAUUGGCCACUACACAGACCAAGGGGCGGAGCCUCUGGUUCACUGUGUGCGACUCCUCUCUGCCUCCUUCCUGCUGACUGGACAGAAGAAUGGGCUGGUCUCUGAUAAAGAGGUCCGUGUCAGUGUGAAGGUUCUAGCAGUCAGCUGUAUCGGAGCAGCAGCUGCCCUUCAUCCUGAAGUCUUCUUCAACUCUCUGUACCUGGAACCACUGGACGGAGAGACACAGCAGGAGCAGCAGUAUAUCAGUGAUGUGUUGUGUCUGGUUGCUCAUGGAGACCCUCAGGUCAGAGGUGCUGCAGGGGUGUUGUGUGGCGCCGUGAUCCACUCUGCUCUCACCAAGACACGUUACAACAUACACGCCUGGAUGGCCAGCGUUCACACCUCUACAGGUAGGAGGGGGGUUCAUUCCUUUAGAGAGAUCCCCCUGGAACUGUAGCUGUGGAUGGUCCAGUUUACACCAGUCACUGUCUGCAGUGACUUCAUGUCGAUCAUCUCCUCUAGUCAAUGAUCAUUUAUUAUCUCUGUCUCUGUCCUGAAUAAAUGGUUGCUUUGGUCUCCUCUCCUCUCUCUCCCUCUGUCCCUUCUCUCUCUCUUCUCCUCCUUCCUCCCCCUCUCCUUCCUCUCCAUCCUCUCCUCCCCCUCUCCUUCCUCUGCUCCCCCUCUCCUUCCUCUCCUCCCCCUCUCCUUCCUCUCCUCCCUCUCUCCAUCCUCUCUUCCCUCUCUCCUUCCUCUCCUCCCUCUCUCCUUCCUCUCCUCCCUCUCUCCUUCCUCUCCUUCCUCUCCUCCUUCUCCUCCCUCUCUCCUUCCUCUCCUUCCUCUCCUCCCUCUCCUUCCUCUCCUUCCUCUCUUCUCCC